UAUAAUUGUAGUUAACUACAUAUUUACAAUGAAAUUGGCAGGUUUCUUCUUCAUAUUGGUGGCUAUUUUAGCCUUUUUUGUUGGUAAUGGGGAUUGUUCACUUGGACAAGCAGUAAAAACUGGCGUUAAUGUUAUUAAAGGUGCCGCCGGUGUCGCCAGUGCUGCUGGGACUGCUCACGAAAUAUAUGAAGGUGUGAAGAACCAUUGAACAUGUAUUAUGUUUCUUUUCUAAAAAUAUAAUUGCGAAAA
This is a long non-coding RNA of Pieris napi, 249 nucleotides long. RefSeq lists it as uncharacterized. Lineage: Eukaryota; Metazoa; Arthropoda; Insecta; Lepidoptera; Pieridae. The record is from RefSeq and is a predicted model, not a curated record. The transcript has 2 exons.